This 516-nucleotide long non-coding RNA is filed under the name Sorghum bicolor (sorghum). Its description in RNAcentral is "long non-coding RNA (SBIC_LNC016106)". Lineage: Eukaryota; Viridiplantae; Streptophyta; Magnoliopsida; Poales; Poaceae. The record is from RNAcentral.
UAACUAAAGGUCAAAACAUUUCAAACAGAUUUAAAAAGGAUUUUUUAAAUGAGUUUGAAAUGGCUUUUAGAUAAAAGAAAACAAAAGAAAAAAAAAGGGGAAACAUCUCCCUCCAUUUGUUUUGGCCCGAAGACCCCUAGCCCCUCCCCUCUUCCCUUCCGGCCCAGCACGCCACCCCUUUUUCCAUCUCUCGCUCGGCCCACUCCCUCGGCCCAACCGCACGCGGCCACUCCUUUCUCCCCGCGGCCCGCGUCCCUCCCUUCUCUCCCUGACAACUGGGCCCAUCUUGUCAGCCGCCCUUUCCCUUCUUCAACCCCGCGUCGGGUGCGUGUAGGACUCUGUUCCUACCGAAACUAUCCAAUCUUGUGGGGAUUUUUGCCCGAUUCACGAACCUUGGUCCUUUAAAGGGGAACGGGGAUCCUACCGCCUCCGUUUCUUCCUGUUUUCCUGGACUCGAGCUCCAUCCUACCCUAGCAUAGCUCGCAAACACCGCCGCCAUCCUGUAGACUGACUCCG